This 32-nucleotide non-coding RNA is filed under the name Mus musculus (house mouse). Lineage: Eukaryota; Metazoa; Chordata; Mammalia; Rodentia; Muridae. The record is from RNAcentral.
ACUGUGCUUUAAGAAAGAAAUAAACAUCUAUU